AGCGAACGCUGGCGGCAGGCUUAACACAUGCAAGUCGAGCGCCGUAGCAAUACGGAGCGGCAGACGGGUGAGUAACACGUGGGAACGUACCUUUUGGUUCGGAACAACACAGGGAAACUUGUGCUAAUACCGGAUAAGCCCUUACGGGGAAAGAUUUAUCGCCGAAAGAUCGGCCCGCGUCUGAUUAGCUAGUUGGUGAGGUAACGGCUCACCAAGGCGACGAUCAGUAGCUGGUCUGAGAGGAUGAUCAGCACACUGGGACUGAGACACGGCCCAGACUCCUACGGGAGGCAGCAGUGGGGAAUAUUGGACAAUGGGCGCAAGCCUGAUCCAGCCAUGCCGCGUGAGUGAUGAAGGCCCUAGGGUUGUAAAGCUCUUUUGUGCGGGAAGAUAAUGACUGUACCGCAAGAAUAAGCCCCGGCUAACUUCGUGCCAGCCGCCGCCGUAA
This 448-nucleotide ribosomal RNA is filed under the name uncultured bacterium. Its description in RNAcentral is "partial 16S ribosomal RNA". It matches the Rfam family "Bacterial small subunit ribosomal RNA", at positions 29 to 523 of the family's 1533-position model. The record is from RNAcentral.